GACGAACGCUGGCGGCGUGCUUAACACAUGCAAGUCGAACGGUGAAGCGCCUUCCUUUUUGGUGGGUGUGGAUGAGUGGCGAACGGGUGAGUAACACGUGAGUAACCUGCCCCCUUCUUCUGGAUAACCGCAUGAAAGUGUGGCUAAUACGGGAUAUUCUGGGUCUGUCGCAUGAUGGGUCUGGGAAAGAUAUUGUUUCGGUGGGGGAUGGGCUCGCGGCCUAUCAGCUUGUUGGUGGGGUGAUGGCCUACCAAGGCGGUGACGGGUAGCCGGCCUGAGAGGGUGGACGGUCACACUGGGACUGAGCCACGGCCCAGACUCCUACGGGAGGCAGCAGUGUGGAAUAUUGCACAAUGGGCGCAAGCCUGAUGCAGCGACGCCGCGUGAGGGAUGGAGGCCUUCGGGUUGUGAACCUCUUUCGCCAGUGAAGCAGGCCUGCCUCGUUUGUGGGUGGGUUGACGGUAGCUGGAUAAAAAGCGCCGGCUAACUACGUG
This 494-nucleotide ribosomal RNA is filed under the name uncultured bacterium. RNAcentral describes it as "partial 16S ribosomal RNA". It matches the Rfam family "Bacterial small subunit ribosomal RNA", at positions 28 to 507 of the family's 1533-position model. The record is from RNAcentral.